GCGAGUGAAGCGGCAACAGCCCAGAUUUGAAAUCUGAUUCUUUGACCGGAAUCCGAAUUGUAAUCUGUAGAGGAUGUCGCUGAGUGACGGCCGUUUCCAAGUUCCCUGGAAUGGGGCGCCAUAGAGGGUGAGAGCCCCGUGGGAGGCGGCUGUACAUUCAGGAUGCGGCUCCUUCGGCGAGUCGAGUAGUUUGGGAAUGCUGCUCUAAAAGGGAGGUAAAUUCCUUCUAAGGCUAAAUAUCGGCCGGAGACCGAUAGCGCACAAGUAGAGUGAUCGAAAGAUGAAAAGCACUUUGAAAAGAGGGUUAAACAGCACGUGAAAUUGUUGAAAGGGAAGCGCCCGCGACCAGACUUGUAUUCCGACUGACCGCUGUACGCUCGUCGUACAGCCUCUCGGUCGUGCCUACAGGCCAGCAUCGGUUUGCGCUGGGGGAUAAGAACAGUUGGGAAUGUGGCUCUUCUUCGGGGGAGUGUUAUAGCCCGGUGUACAGUACCCUGGUGCAGAUCGAGGACCGCGCUUCGGCACGGAUGCUGGCGUAAUGGUCGCUGACGACCCGUCUUGAAACACGGACCAAGGAGUCGAGGUUCUCCGCGAGUGUGCGGGUGGAAAACCCGCCCGCGAAAUGAAAGUGAACGUAGGUGACAGCUAUCGAAGCGCAUCACCGACCGAUCCCGAAGUUCUCGGAGGGAAUCGAGUAUGAGCGGGGAGCCUCGGACCCGAAAGAUGACGAACUAUGCCUGCAUAGGAUGAAGCCAGAGGAAACUCUGGUGGAGGUUCGCAGCGGUUCUGACGUGCAAAUCGAUCGUCAAAUGUGGGCAUGGGG
RNAcentral lists this ribosomal RNA (823 nucleotides) under Meliola tamarindi. RNAcentral's name for it is "eukaryotic LSU rRNA". It matches the Rfam family "Eukaryotic large subunit ribosomal RNA", at positions 89 to 922 of the family's 3401-position model. Lineage: Eukaryota; Fungi; Ascomycota; Sordariomycetes; Meliolales; Meliolaceae. The record is from RNAcentral.